Prionailurus viverrinus (fishing cat) is the source of this 1432-nucleotide long non-coding RNA. RefSeq lists it as uncharacterized. The transcript has 8 exons. The record is from RefSeq and is a predicted model, not a curated record. NCBI's taxonomy places the organism in Eukaryota, Metazoa, Chordata, Mammalia, Carnivora, Felidae.
CUGCGAUUGUCAGAGAAUGCAAGGAAGACUAUAGCAAGUCCCAUGACAGAUUGGAGCGAAGAAUAAAAAAUCCACUUGUGUCUUCCAAGAGUUCAGUCUUAGGGCAAAAAACAGAUGGGCAAACAGUUGUAGCCACAUGUAAUCAUUUAAAGGUGGUAAUUUUCAAAGACUGGUUAGGAUACAGGGAAAGCGGUACUUUCAGUGGCCUGGGGAGUCAGGAGAGGCUGCCCAGAUGUGAUAGGCUUCUUUAAGGCUUCCGUCAAGAAUAGAGUGACUAUAGACAAAUUGGGCUAGUCAAUGGGGAAAGACUACUCCUGAAGGUAGGCGAAGGCCCUGUGAUUGUGAAAGAGAUUAGUACAAGAGAGACUCCAACAAGUGUGGCGUAGGUGUGUGAGGACAAGGUCGGGGAAUGGCAAGAAGGAGACUGCAGGCUUGACAGAUAAGGCCUUGCAAAGACCUUUGGAUUUUAGCCUCUGUGGAUGGGGAACUUGUAGAAUUCUGAGUGGAGAGGGAGGCAAGAUCAAGUUCAGAAGAAAAUUUGUAGUAUGAGAAAUGGUUUAGGCAGGCAUUGGGACUUGAGUUAGGGAGACAGUUUUAACAGGCUGGGUGAAGUAUGAGGACCCGAGCCAUGACAGUGGCGCUGGAGAUGAGGAAGAGGCAUCAAAAGUAAAAGGUUCAAGAUUUCACUGUUCUAAAUUUAGAGGAACUAGGAAGAAAAAUGAGACUUUUUCACGAAGGAAAUUAAAGAGUUCAUGUAUCCAUCACCACAGUCACAGUCAAAAUACUGAAUAGUUCCAACAUCACCAGAAGCCCUCGUGUUGCCCUGCAUAAUUCCCUGGAGAUUGAUCCAAGUUGUUGUACGUAUCAAUAGUCUACUCAUUGCAUGUAGCUUUGAACCAUAUGGUCACAAGAUGGAUGCUGUGCCUCCAGGUAUCACAGGUGACUGAAAAGGAGCAUGGGAGAUAGUUGAAGACAUAUUUCUUAGUUCAAGAUAUAUUUAUGAGACCACACAAGCAAAAUUAUGACAGGUUUAGUGGAUUUUGGUACUUGGGCUGUCCAAAGCAUCAGACUCCAACAGUCUUCAACUGAUGAGCUGCCGUAAAGAGGCAAAGUUGCUAUUUGGCACCUUUGCAAAGAAACUUCCCCAGGAAUCUGGCUGGAUAACUGUUCAGGGCCCUGGGCUUUCCUGCUCUUUCCCAGACCCAGCCAGAGUAAAAGGCUGGCCUUCUCUACUUAGGAGCCUCAUCUUCUUCUCAAGGAUGACCGACGGUGGGAACAAGUGUGGUAUUCAGGAGAGAUCUCCUAUUUCCCACCACACAAAAUAUGAUGUGGACCCUGGCCGCAGGAAGCCACAAUAGUUUAGAGUUUCCAAAGUCUGACUUACCCAGCCUUAACAGGGAUCACAUGUGGCUCACUGACUGUCUCACCCAGC